UUCCUCACUACUAAUGUUCACCACAUAAUGUAAACAAACAGUGUAUGGCAUGUCAAAAAAAUUUCCAAUUGAAAAUUUAAUCAUUUAUUUAUUGAAUAAAUAUUGUACGUCAAUGUUGUGCGAUCGGUUGCUUUCCCCAUUAGUUCAGAUCGUCGUCGUAAAUGAUCUAUUGGUGCUGGUAUGAGUCAAAUAAAACCAAGCUCAAGGUUAUGUGAUAUAUAUUUAUGAAAAUCCAUUAUGAUGAAUCUCAAUAUGAACAACAUCGUCAGGAUGGCUCAAAAAAAAUUAAAACCAAAUGCAGUACCAACUUUGUUUGGUGAUGUUUUGAUAGAUUAUUUGAGUAAAAUCCACCAAAAUAAAAGUAACUACAUGAUGUUAGUUGGACUUCAUUUGAAUCACUAAAGCAGUUGUCAACAAUAAACUUAGGUAAAUCUGAUGUGCAAAUACCGGUAUUUUAUUUUUUGAAAUUCAGUGAAAUUUUCGAUACCAAUACUGUAUUUACAACUAUAGAGAUGUUACUCAUGGUAUUGAAAAAUAAAAAAUAUAUGAACAUAACUUGAUUUUAUUGUAUAAAUAAAAAUAAAUACAUACGAAGUUAUAGAUGAUAAAUAAAUUCAAUAAAUAAAUUCAGUAAAUAAAUUAUAUAGCAAAAUUAAAAUAUAAAAAAAAAAAAUAUUUGUCCUUAAAAAAAUAAGGUUUUUUUAAAUAAAAAAAGUUAGUAUUAUUGGAAGAAGUAUUUAUAUUAAUAAAUUUUCAUUACACUUAAAAA
Aphidius gifuensis is the source of this 769-nucleotide long non-coding RNA. RefSeq lists it as uncharacterized. The transcript has 3 exons. NCBI's taxonomy places the organism in Eukaryota, Metazoa, Arthropoda, Insecta, Hymenoptera, Braconidae. The record is from RefSeq and is a predicted model, not a curated record.